Molecule: ribosomal RNA, 1060 nt
Filed under: Microbacterium sp. V16R3E2
Lineage: Bacteria; Bacillati; Actinomycetota; Actinomycetes; Micrococcales; Microbacteriaceae
Description: bacterial SSU rRNA
Rfam family: Bacterial small subunit ribosomal RNA
Source: RNAcentral
GCAAGUCGAACGGUGAAGCAGGAGCUUGCUCUUGUGGAUCAGUGGCGAACGGGUGAGUAACACGUGAGCAACCUGCCCCGGACUCUGGGAUAAGCGCUGGAAACGGCGUCUAAUACUGGAUAUGAGACGUGACCGCAUGGUCAACGUUUGGAAAGAUUUUUCGGUCUGGGAUGGGCUCGCGGCCUAUCAGCUUGUUGGUGAGGUAAUGGCUCACCAAGGCGUCGACGGGUAGCCGGCCUGAGAGGGUGACCGGCCACACUGGGACUGAGACACGGCCCAGACUCCUACGGGAGGCAGCAGUGGGGAAUAUUGCACAAUGGGCGAAAGCCUGAUGCAGCAACGCCGCGUGAGGGAUGACGGCCUUCGGGUUGUAAACCUCUUUUAGCAGGGAAGAAGCGAGAGUGACGGUACCUGCAGAAAAAGCGCCGGCUAACUACGUGCCAACAGCCGCGGUAAUACGUAGGGCGCAAGCGUUAUCCGGAAUUAUUGGGCGUAAAGAGCUCGUAGGCGGUCUGUCGCGUCUGCUGUGAAAUCUGGAGGCUCAACCUCCAGCCUGCAGUGGGUACGGGCAGACUAGAGUGCGGUAGGGGAGAUUGGAAUUCCUGGUGUAGCGGUGGAAUGCGCAGAUAUCAGGAGGAACACCGAUGGCGAAGGCAGAUCUCUGGGCCGUAACUGACGCUGAGGAGCGAAAGGGUGGGGAGCAAACAGGCUUAGAUACCCUGGUAGUCCACCCCGUAAACGUUGGGAACUAGUUGUGGGGUCCUUUCCACGGAUUCCGUGACGCAGCUAACGCAUUAAGUUCCCCGCCUGGGGAGUACGGCCGCAAGGCUAAAACUCAAAGGAAUUGACGGGGACCCGCACAAGCGGCGGAGCAUGCGGAUUAAUUCGAUGCAACGCGAAGAACCUUACCAAGGCUUGACAUACACGAGAACGGGCCAGAAAUGGUCAACUCUUUGGACACUCGUGAACAGGUGGUGCAUGGUUGUCGUCAGCUCGUGUCGUGAGAUGUUGGGUUAAGUUCCGCAACGAGCGCGACCCUCGUUCUAUGUUGCCAGCACGU